This 29-nucleotide small RNA is filed under the name Bombyx mori (domestic silkworm). RNAcentral describes it as "piRNA piR-bmo-2069962". Lineage: Eukaryota; Metazoa; Arthropoda; Insecta; Lepidoptera; Bombycidae. The record is from RNAcentral.
UGAACGAAACUAUCCAUUCCGGUAACUUU